This 690-nucleotide ribosomal RNA is filed under the name Anaerosalibacter bizertensis. RNAcentral's name for it is "Sporanaerobacter sp. C5BEL Bacterial large subunit ribosomal RNA". It matches the Rfam family "Bacterial large subunit ribosomal RNA", at positions 2233 to 2925 of the family's 2925-position model. Lineage: Bacteria; Bacillati; Bacillota; Tissierellia; Tissierellales; Sporanaerobacteraceae. The record is from Rfam by way of RNAcentral.
CUGUGAAUCCAGUCUUGGGACACUGUCAGUCGGGCAGUUUGACUGGGGCGGUCGCCUCCCAAAAAGUAACGGAGGCGCUCAAAGGUUCCCUCAGCACGGUCGGAAAUCGUGCAUAGAGUGCAAAGGCAUAAGGGAGCUUAACUGCGACACCUACAAGUGGAGCAGAAAGGAAACUUGGACUUAGUGAUCCGGUGGCACCGCAUGGAAGGGCCAUCGCUCAACGGAUAAAAGCUACCCCGGGGAUAACAGGCUUAUCUCCCCCAAGAGUCCACAUCGACGGGGAGGUUUGGCACCUCGAUGUCGGCUCGUCUCAUCCUGGGGCUGGAGUAGGUCCCAAGGGUUGGGCUGUUCGCCCAUUAAAGAGGCACGCGAGCUGGGUUCAGAACGUCGUGAGACAGUUCGGUCCCUAUCCGUCGUGGGCGCAGGAAAUUUGAGAAGAGCCAUUCCUAGUACGAGAGGACCGGAAUGGACAGACCGCUGGUGCAUCAGUUGUCUUGCCAAAGGCACAGCUGAGUAGCUAUGUCUGGAAGGGAUAAGUGCUGAAGGCAUCUAAGCACGAAGCCUCCUUCAAGAUGAGAUUUCCCAUCGUAAGAGUAAGACUCCAAGUAGACUACUUGGUUGAUAGGUCCCAGGUGUAAGAGUAGCAAUAUUCUUAGCUAAGGGAUACUAAUAAGUCGAGGGCUUGACCAA